RNAcentral lists this unclassified non-coding RNA (87 nucleotides) under Pseudomonas fragi. Lineage: Bacteria; Pseudomonadati; Pseudomonadota; Gammaproteobacteria; Pseudomonadales; Pseudomonadaceae. The record is from RNAcentral.
UGUGGGAGCGGGCUUGCUCGCGAUGGAAUCGAUGCGGUUUGACCGAGCGACCGCGCCGUCUGCAUCGCGAGCAAGCCCGCUCCCACA